GACGAACGCUGGCGGCGUGCUUAACACAUGCAAGUCGAACGGAGUGGCGAACGGGUGAGUAACACGUGGGUGAUCUGCCUUGCACUUCGGGAUAAGCUUGGGAAACUGGGUCUAAUACCGGCUAGGGCAAGAUGAGUGCGCGGCUUAUCGGCUUGUUGGGGGGGUGAUGGCCGACCAAGGCGUCGCCGGGUAGCCGGCAUGAGAGGGUGUACGGCCACAUUGGGACUGAGAUACGGCCCAGACUCCUACGUGAGGCAGCGGUGGGGAAUAUUGCACAAUGGGCGGAAGCCUGAUGCAGCGACGCCGCGUGGGGGAUGAAGGCCUUCGGGUUGUAAACUCCUUUCGACAGGGACGCGGUACCUGUAUAAGAAGCACCGGCUAACUACGUGCCAGCAGCCGCGGUAAUUC
This 408-nucleotide ribosomal RNA is filed under the name uncultured bacterium. RNAcentral's name for it is "partial 16S ribosomal RNA". It matches the Rfam family "Bacterial small subunit ribosomal RNA", at positions 28 to 526 of the family's 1533-position model. The record is from RNAcentral.